AGCGUGGGGAUGUGAAAUUUGCAUCCCAAGUUUUGCGAGUAAAUAAAAAUCCAGGAGAAAGUAAAGUUGAUCUCACAUGGGUUGCUUUCUCCACUCCACAUCACAAAGCUUAAGUCUCCCUUUUAUCUUUCUGUUGCUGUUUUCACAGGUGCAGCUUACCUUUACCCAUUUGCAGCAAAUACAUAUAGGAGAGGAGGAGAUUAAAAUUUAGCCAAAGUUAAAUGCAGAAACUUUCUGAACAAAAAGAUUUUCUUCUUUCGUACCAAUUCAGAAAGAGGAGGCCCAACUUACCAUGGUGGUUACACGUGGGAGUGAGUCAGCAAAGGGACACCAACAGAAGCCCUAAGUUGAGAAGUUUGGUGAAUGAUCACAACCACUCAAUUUGAAGGACCAACCAAAUUUCACCAACCAACAACGUAUCUUGUGCGGCCUCAUGCUUAACUAAAGUUUAGCCAAAAAGAAUUUAGGUUGACCACCUUGAUUACCUUUAUCCAUUUUUUUCAAUAAUAAAGUUGGAAGAUUUAGGUUACGUGGGUGAGAUUGAUUUGCACUUUCAAAAGGUUAAGCUAAAUAAGAGAUUCUAAUCAAGCCAGGGUGCGCUCCAUGCAAUGCAUUGCAUUGGUUGGGAUGGGUGGUUAGAAGAAUCUGGAUGAUUACUUAGCCUGGUUAGUAAAGUAAUCAUAAUCAACCACCCAAUUAUUUUUGGAUUUGUUUGUUGCUAGUACUAAAUACACAUGGUCUUCUGAAUCAUUUGAUGAUCCCGCAAACAUAUAAAUAUUACAGCAUUAUUCAAUAUUCAAUAUUCCCGCAAACAUAUAAAGAUUUCUCCAAUUAAACAGAAAACUAGUCGUAUCAUUAAGAAAGAAAAGAAGAAAAAAAGUGUAAGGCAUUGAGUUUCACCUAAAGAGGCCGAAAGAUAAUCCAAGAAUGGCUAGGCUGCUAGGCAAUAGUUUAUGUUAUGAAGCAAGCAUAGCAUCAUCAUAGACUGUUUAUCGGGUUGU
Long non-coding RNA from Prunus persica (peach), 1001 nucleotides. RefSeq lists it as uncharacterized. The record is from RefSeq and is a predicted model, not a curated record. The transcript has 3 exons. Lineage: Eukaryota; Viridiplantae; Streptophyta; Magnoliopsida; Rosales; Rosaceae.